Molecule: long non-coding RNA, 1976 nt
Organism: Ficedula albicollis (Collared flycatcher)
Lineage: Eukaryota; Metazoa; Chordata; Aves; Passeriformes; Muscicapidae
Exons: 2
Source: RefSeq, a predicted model, not a curated record
CUCACAGGUGAGUGGCAGGCUAUUUUUAUUCACAAGGGUAACAGCUUUCCUACUGGGAGUUAUCAUGAGGAGGCCAACCCUUGUUAGCUGGCUUGCAUUCCCAUCAUUGGCAUUGUACCUGAAAGCACAAGCCUCAGCCUCCAAAAAUGUGGCUGUGUGUCAGAGCUCCUGCCCUGAGGCAAGUGUUCAAUCAGAUAAUUUGUCCUGCCUGUUCCAAGUUGAUCCAUGCUUUGCUGGCCUCUGUGUGUUAGAAAAAAGAUUUUCACACUCCUUUUGCUGUGGAGCUGGAACAUCUUUGGGCAUACCUGUAAUUUUCAGUGGAGUAAGGUUUAUGGAUCAGAGAUUGUCCCUUAUCUGUGUUUUCCUAUAAGAGACCUCUCUGUGGCUGAUCAACCUGCUGGAUCCUGUUCAGAGGAGGCCACAAAGAUGAUCAGAGGGCUGAAGCAGCUCUGCUAUGAAGACAGGCUUAGGAGGGUUGGAGUUGUUCAGCCUGGAGAAGGGAAGGCUCUGGAGAGACCUUACACCAAUACCUAAAGGAUGUCAACAGGAAAACUGGAGAGGGAAUUUUGGCAGGACCUGUUGUGAUAGGACAGGGGUUAGAGGUUUUAAACUAAGAGGUUUGUUCUAGAUUGGAUACAGGGAAGGAAAGGAGUCUUAUUUAGAAUGAGGAUGGUGAAACACUGGAACAGGUUACCUAGAGAGGUGGUGGGUGCCCCACCCCUGGAAGCAUUCAGGGAUAGGCUGGAUGAGGCUCUGAGCAAUACAAUCUAGUUCAAGGUGCCCCUGGUCAUUGCAAGGACAUUGGACUGGGUUGACCCCUAAAGGUCCCUUCCAAGCCAAACCAUGAUUCUGUGAGGCCUCUAAGGAGCCUCUAAGGCCUCUCUACUUUACACUAUAAAACUGUUCCCAGUUGCUGGAGGAUUUUUCCUUAUGGAUUUUCAGUGGAAAGCUGGGAAAGUUGGCAACAGUUUGCUUGCUUUUCUGUUUCCCUCUCAUUUCUUGCCCCCCUGCGUAUUGCUGCCAUUACCCAUCAAAGCAUCAGGCUGAGUCAGAUGUAGAAAAUGAGAUGAAAAAUUCAGGGUGAUGGAUGGGUGGCAGCCAAAAUGACUUUUUCUAUCCAUCCAUUCCCUAAAGCUGCAAUAGUAGCUCAGAGGCUGUGCCUCACGACUUCAUCCCUCCCUGCUGAGGGGAGAUGGGAACAUCAUUAUCAGCUGCCGAUGAUUUGGAGCCAGCAGUGAAAAUGUCCUCGGAUGUAGGGCUCCUCCUCCGCCCCAAGGGUGACUCGAACCUGCUGGGAAGAUGGAGGAAGAGCUGGAGGGGGGAGAUGAGAAGAAAGAGGUGCAAAUUCAACCACGUCUCUAUGAUGAUGUCAUGGCAACAAGCUACAGCCGUUCCUUGGGGCCUUGUGUCUGAAACGUGAGUCCGGACUGAAUUCAGCAAACUUCCCGGAGCAAGACGCUGUGUUCCCCCACCCAGGGAAGCCAUCUGCUCCUCUCCACCAGCUCCUUCUGCGGGGCUCCGGGCUCGCCAGCCGGGCUGGAAAGCUCUCCUCCUCCUCCUCCUCCUCCUCCUCGCUUGCCCCGGCUCUCCCCGGCCAUCUUGCUAGCAGAAGGCUGGGGAACGCGGGGCUGGCUGGAUCUGGGGCGGUGAUGGUGUCAGCCGGAGGCGGUUUCCAGGCAACUGUGGCGCCGUGGGACACGGAGCCAAGAACGCCGGGAACAGCGCGUUCCCGGGCGGGGAGCGGGACACGCGCGGAGCGAGCCGCGCAGGGAUGGCGGCACAGGAGAGCAGGGGGCUGCAGAGCAUCCCCUCCUGCCCGCUGAUCAUCGUACCCGCCCCGGCUGGGAGCGAGCAUUUCCGAGCUGGCUGCUGGUGCAUCACGCGAUAAGGAAGGGCUGCGUGAUGUACGGGAUUUCACGUGUCUUCUGCAUCCCUUGGAGGAUCAAAGGGAAAAGAAACAUUGUGCCAGACUGUAC